Long non-coding RNA from Biomphalaria glabrata, 818 nucleotides. RefSeq lists it as uncharacterized. Lineage: Eukaryota; Metazoa; Mollusca; Gastropoda; Planorbidae. The transcript is spliced from 3 exons. The record is from RefSeq and is a predicted model, not a curated record.
UUCAAGGGGGAAAUAAUACCGAGCGGAAACUUAUCAAAACUGGGCCUAUAGUUUCAUUCAUAGGCACCUGUACAGCUUGUGGUGUAAAUGUCGUGUAUCAUUAUUCAAAAACUCUAUAGAUUUGAUCAAGUUUGAUGAAUUCUAGUUUUUGAUUGGACAAAAGAUUACUUUGUGUGAUAAGAAAACUUAUUUCAUAGUUCUAGAUGUUUGCUUGAGUAACGUUGAAAAAGUCAGUCAAUUAAAGACUCCACACACUUUUGGAUGAGGAACUACACGCUAAGAACAUUAUCUUUGCAAAUAUUCAUCAAGAUUUUGGAAGCAAUUUUACCAGAAUUCUACCACUGUUGCAUAAAUGCAAAACAUUUCCUUAGGGGCCAUUGUAUCUUUCUUUACACAUUACAGGUAACAAGAAUAAAUGCAAAAGUCUUGGCGUGCACGCUGAAUGGUUCAGUGUCAUCAUAUCAAUGUCAUCUUCAAGGUCUCGUCUCGUUUUUAAUGCUCAAGAUCAUUAUGUCGAGCUUAUACUGUUAAAGGUCAUUGUGUCAAUUUUUGUUAUUGUUAAAGGUACAGUCUUGUUGGCCUCUAAUAAAAUAAGUUCUGUAUUGCAGAGCGUACGUCAUUAAGUCUAACGUAGACAUUAGGUACACAGGAUGGAACUUUUUUUUUUUUGGUUGAUGUAUUGUUCUACAAUAUGUCAUCUUUAUUAUUUAACUUUGUUUUUUUAUGUUUUUUUUUAAUUAUAAGAAUACGUCAUGAUCCUUAACGUUGACAUAGAAAUAUAUGUUAAAGUGACUUUGUGAAUGAACUACAAUAUAUUU